CGGGGCGUAGCGCAGCCUGGUAGCGCACUACAAUGGGGUUGUAGGGGUCGCGAGUUCGAAUCUCGCCGCCCCGACCA
Molecule: transfer RNA, 77 nt
Filed under: Oleiagrimonas soli
Lineage: Bacteria; Pseudomonadati; Pseudomonadota; Gammaproteobacteria; Lysobacterales; Rhodanobacteraceae
Also listed under: 10 other names
Description: tRNA-Pro
Rfam family: tRNA
About the family: Transfer RNA (tRNA) molecules are approximately 80 nucleotides in length.
Source: RNAcentral